CUACGGGGCGCUGCAGUGAGGAAUAUUGCACAAUGGGGGAAACCCUGAUGCAGCAACGCCGCGUGGAGGAUGACGCAUUUCGGUGUGUAAACUCCUUUUAUCAGAGAAGAAAAUGACGGUAUCUGAUGAAUAAGCUCCGGCUAACUCCGUGCCAGCAGCCGCGGUAAUACGGAGGGAGCAAGCGUUAUUCGGAAUCACUGGGCGUAAAGGACGCGUAGGCGGGUUUUUAAGUCAGGUGUGAAAUCCUAUGGCUCAACCAUAGAACUGCACUUGAAACUGGGGACCUAGAGUAUGGAAGGGGCAGGUGGAAUUAGUGGUGUAGGGGUAAAAUCCGUAGAUAUCACUAGGAACACCGAAAGCGAAGGCGACCUGCUGGGACAUUACUGACGCUGAGGCGUGAAAGCGUGGGGAGCAAACAGGAUUAGAUACCCUUGUAGUC
This 439-nucleotide ribosomal RNA is filed under the name uncultured bacterium. RNAcentral's name for it is "partial 16S ribosomal RNA". It matches the Rfam family "Bacterial small subunit ribosomal RNA", at positions 339 to 795 of the family's 1533-position model. The record is from RNAcentral.